GGGGACGCUGUCUUCGUACCUGGAACGCCGGAAGAACCCGCACUGCGCAAAGGAGGGAAACAACAGUUCAGGUGUAAGUCGCUGCCAAAGUACUACAACUACAGAGGCACUAAAUUCUUCCUUCAUGCAAAUAUACAGCAAAGUGUGUUCCUAGAGAAGUACACCUAAGAACUCAAGUAAAACAGAUGUUUCCACAGCAAUAAAUUCUCACCAUGAAAACCCUUCUCCGAUGUGAGCAACAUGUACAGCAUGCACUAAAGAUCUCUACAUGUGAAUAAGAUCAAGUCUUCACAGAUUGGUUAAACCUCACCCCAAGAUUAAAGAUUGGAUUAUAUGCAUCAUACCUACAUGCGAGAACCACUAACUGUUUGUACUGACAGCAAUGGGAAAACAUAAUGAAGAUGUUAUUACUUGCUUAUUUUAAGCCAGAGACAAAAGAGGGAGAGAGAUACAAUGAAAUAGGACCUGUGAAAUAGGACCUCUGUGUUCAGUACAGCUAAAGGAUACUGAAGUGCCAGGAUGAUUUGCUCUUCUUCCAAGAAGUUACUUGGCAAUAGAAUGUCACGCACACAGAAGCACAGCUGCCUCUCAGGCAGCUGAAUGAAAUUAGCAGCAAGCAGUCUGCAGUAGUUUGUGGAAGAAACUACUUCAUGCUCAGCUGAAACACCGAGGAUGAGAGAACAGUGUGUGGGUAAGUGCAACCCAGCAGGCGAGAUGGAUGCAUGGAUGGAUGCUGAACCAGACUCUUCUUCCUGACCCCAGGACAUAGAGCACUUGAAAGAAGAUAUCCCUGAUAUUACAGUGUCAAGGACAGAAAAGCUGGGACUGCAGAUGGAUCCACAAGGCUCAAAGAGGACCUCAAACCCUUUUUAAUACCCAGCUCUAGUUUUGCUUUGUUCUGGCAGUGGGUCAAAGCACACUGCUGUCCCUCA
Molecule: long non-coding RNA, 932 nt
Organism: Onychostruthus taczanowskii (white-rumped snowfinch)
Lineage: Eukaryota; Metazoa; Chordata; Aves; Passeriformes; Passeridae
Exons: 5
Source: RefSeq, a predicted model, not a curated record